AGCGAACGCUGGCGGCAGGCUUAACACAUGCAAGUCGAGCGGGCAUAGCAAUAUGUCAGCGGCAGACGGGUGAGUAACGCGUGGGAACGUACCUUUUGGUUCGGAACAACUGAGGGAAACUUCGGCUAAUACCGGAUAAGCCCUUACGGGGAAAGAUUUAUUGCCGAAAGAUCGGCCCGCAUCUGAUUAGCUAGUUGGUGAGGUAAUGGCUCACCAAGGCGACGAUCAGUAGCUGGUCUGAGAGGAUGAUCAGCCACAUUGGGACUGAGACACGGCCCAAACUCCUACGGGAGGCAGCAGUGGGGAAUAUUGGACAAUGGGCGCAAGCCUGAUCCAGCCAUGCCGCGUGAGUGAUGAAGGCCCUAGGGUUGUAAAGCUCUUUUGUGCGGGAAGAUAAUGACGGUACCGCAAGAAUAAGCCCCGGCUAACUUCGUG
Molecule: ribosomal RNA, 435 nt
Filed under: uncultured bacterium
Lineage: Bacteria
Description: partial 16S ribosomal RNA
Rfam family: Bacterial small subunit ribosomal RNA
Source: RNAcentral